GGCUUGUUAGCUCAAUUGGUAAGAGCGCUGCACUAAUAUCGCAGAGGUCAGUGGUUCGAAUCCCGUACAGGCCU
This is a non-coding RNA of Stylophora pistillata, 74 nucleotides long. The record is from the annotation of a RefSeq genome assembly. Lineage: Eukaryota; Metazoa; Cnidaria; Anthozoa; Scleractinia; Pocilloporidae.